This 636-nucleotide ribosomal RNA is filed under the name uncultured bacterium. RNAcentral's name for it is "bacterial SSU rRNA". It matches the Rfam family "Bacterial small subunit ribosomal RNA", at positions 202 to 839 of the family's 1533-position model. The record is from RNAcentral.
AAAACUCAGGUGGUCAGAGAUGGACAUGCGUUGUAUUAGCUAGUUGGUGAGGUAACGGCUCACCAAGGCGACGAUACAUAGGGGGACUGAGAGGUCAACCCCCCACAUUGGUACUGAGACACGGACCAAACUCCUACGGGAGGCAGCAGUGAGGAAUAUUGGUCAAUGGACGCAAGUCUGAACCAGCCAUGCCGCGUGCAGGAAGACGGCUCUAUGAGUUGUAAACUGCUUUUGUACGAGGGUAAAUCCCGAUACGUGUAUCGGGUUGAAAGUAUCGUACGAAUAAGGAUCGGCUAACUCCGUGCCAGCAGCCGCGGUAAUACGGAGGAUUCAAGCGUUAUCCGGAUUUAUUGGGUUUAAAGGGUGCGUAGGCGGUUCGAUAAGUUAGAGGUGAAAUCCCGGGGCUCAACUCCGGCACUGCCUCUGAUACUGUCGGGCUAGAGUUUAGUUGCGGUAGGCGGAAUGUAUGGUGUAGCGGUGAAAUGCAUAGAGAUCAUACAGAACACCGAUUGCGAAGGCAGCUUACCAAACUACGACUGACGUUGAGGCACGAAAGCGUGGGGAGCAAACAGGAUUAGAUACCCUGGUAGUCCACGCAGUAAACGAUGAUAACUGGUUGUCGGCGAUAAAAUGUCG